AGUGGAGUGAGAAAAGCUACAUAUUUCUUAGAAAUAAUGCCAGAUUUCAUUGUGGAACCUGGCUUGUACAUGCAUGUAUGCAAAUAUGAAUCAGUGAGGACAAGUGUGCUUCCACUUUAAGGAGACAUGGGAACUUCUAAUUGAGGCAGAUACAGUAGCUAUAGGUUGCAGCACAUGCAUAAAGAGGAGAUGUCAGCUAAGAAGAAGCAUCUAAUAAUUCCCUAGUAAUACUGGGGCAGAGACACCUAAAUAGAGCAAAACAGCGAGGCGCGAAGAUGAUGCCAGGGUGGAAACACAAGAUGAUGAUAAACCUCCUGACUUGUCCUCUUUGUGGUGGCUUGCGCCACCACCAUCUAC
Molecule: long non-coding RNA, 357 nt
Organism: Polypterus senegalus (gray bichir)
Lineage: Eukaryota; Metazoa; Chordata; Cladistia; Polypteriformes; Polypteridae
Exons: 3
Source: RefSeq, a predicted model, not a curated record